GCCUGUUACGCGUUGGUUUGGGAGGUACGGCAGGUGAGGCAAGAACAGUGGAUCAAUGUCUCUGGCUGUGGGUUGUAGGUUGGAGCGUGCUUGGGCAGUGAUUUGCGUUUGCCGACCUCUGCUCUUGCGUUGGUGUGGUAUUUGGCUGCUCUGCCAUAUUUGGCUCAUCCCAGGACCGGAUCUCUGGCUCUUAGUGUGGUCGUAGCAGGUAAUCACCGAUUCCAGUUUAAUUCGCUCCGACAGUCUGCUGAUGCUGAGUCAAGUGAGGAGGGAGCUUCAGCAUGUGGUCUGCGCCAUCUUGUA
Molecule: non-coding RNA, 303 nt
Organism: Pelobates cultripes (western spadefoot toad)
Lineage: Eukaryota; Metazoa; Chordata; Amphibia; Anura; Pelobatidae
Source: the annotation of a GenBank genome assembly